Molecule: ribosomal RNA, 253 nt
Filed under: uncultured bacterium
Lineage: Bacteria
Description: partial 16S ribosomal RNA
Rfam family: Bacterial small subunit ribosomal RNA
Source: RNAcentral
UACGUAGGCAGCAAGCGUUGUUCGGAAUUACUGGGCGUAAAGAGUGUGUAGGCGGUGUUCUAAGUUUGUCGUGAAAUCUCCCGGCUUAACUGGGAGGGUGCGGCGAAAACUGGAAUGCUAGAGGAUGGGAGAGGUAAGCGGAAUUCCUGGUGUAGCGGUGAAAUGCGCAGAUAUCAGGAGGAACACCGAUGGCGAAGGCAGGUCUCUGGGCAUUAACUGACGCUGAGGAGCGAAAGCGUGGGGAGCGAACAGG